AUUGUUCCUCAAUUGUUGUAUUGGGUCCUUCACUGUAAGCGAUCCCGCCUGGCGCAGUCGUGUUGAUAACCCAAAUGGCCGAAUUUUCAAUUCUAACACCGACGAGCGCAGACUGAGCGUCUUAGGACCACAGCGCCCGACACACAUGGCAAAGGCAGGGCUAGGAAGCUCUUUACGAACUCUCGUCGGACCAUCUGUCAGUUCUGUAUGAUUUGAGCGACGAAAAGGAGUUACUGAGUACAUAUAUCAAUUCCGCCUUACUCUGGAGCCCACCCUGCUUGACAUUGCUGUUGCUGAAUCCAAGGGCGCUUUGAACAUGGUGUACCACACCGCCACGGCAACACUUGAAGUUGAAUUCCACGUCAAUCGCUUGCCUGAUGAAUUUAAGUCCCUUAUCUGCGAGCAACGACGCCUUAUUCAAGUGACCACGGUAUCGAAUCGCCCCGAAGAUAAAUUAGCACUCAAUAGACUACAAGGGUAUAUUAGGAAAGAGCUUUUGGCGCACCAUAACAGAUUGUGGGGGAGGAAGUUAAGUAAUAUACCGGAUGAUAACGGUAAGGAACGCUUCUUUUCCUGGACAUUUAUUAGGAAAUACAAAACCGAGUUCGUUUACCAUUUACUACUAUGAGAGACCGCAAAUUUGUAAUGGAAAAAGAUGCUGACAAAGCGACACUUAUUGUUGCUCACCUCGCUCUCAGUGCGUGCCACCUGCUUAUUGUUGCUAGUGAAGUUGUGAAUUAAACUUCUUCGUUGAUGCCGAGGAACAGCUUAAGCCUCUGCCAUAGUCGGAGUCGUGGAGAUUGUUAACGCUUUAUGGAGACGGGAGGCGCCUGACCUUGACGGUAUCACCAACGUGACGUUGAAGCAACUACCAGUGGUGGCAGUAGGAGGUCUAUACUGCCUCAUCAUCUCUUCGAUGGCUCGCGGCAUUGCACUGGGAGAUGGCAGCUGUUGUAAUGCUCCCGAAGAAACCAUAGUCAGCAUCUACGCUAAGCAACUAGAGACCUAUAAGUCUCUCGUCAGUCGUUGGCAAAGUAGCUAGGCGGCCAUACUGCGCCGCUUGAAAGCAAUUGUUGUCGCAAGUCACUCCCUGCAAAAUUUUCAACUUGGAUUUCGUUAAGAACGCGCCACGACUCCACAGCUCCUUCGCUUAACAGAGUAGACGACCUAAGCUUUCAACUUAAAAAAAAAAAAGGCAAUAAUAGGCGCGGUCUUUCUUAAUGCCCAAAGGCGUUUGAUCGAGUUUUGCACAAGGAUUAGCUUCACAAAUUGAGCGCCAUAGCCAUUACUAUUGUCUUCUUUAAUAUUAUCAAUCUUACCUAAAGCACCGCUUUGAUGUGUG
This is a long non-coding RNA of Zophobas morio, 1342 nucleotides long. RefSeq lists it as uncharacterized. NCBI's taxonomy places the organism in Eukaryota, Metazoa, Arthropoda, Insecta, Coleoptera, Tenebrionidae. The record is from RefSeq and is a predicted model, not a curated record. The transcript has 3 exons.